Molecule: ribosomal RNA, 995 nt
Filed under: uncultured cyanobacterium
Lineage: Bacteria; Bacillati; Cyanobacteriota
Description: bacterial SSU rRNA
Rfam family: Bacterial small subunit ribosomal RNA
Source: RNAcentral
CCAGCCGCCGCGGUAAUACGGAGGAUGCAAGCGUUAUCCGGAAUGAUUGGGCGUAAAGCGUCCGCAGGUGGCAAGUCAAGUUUGCGGUUAAAGGUUCUGGCUCAACCAGAGACAGGCCGUGAAAACUGACUAGCUAGAGUAUGGUAGGGGCAGAGGGAAUUCCCAGUGUAGCGGUGAAAUGCGUAGAGAUUGGGAAGAACACCGGUGGCGAAAGCGCUCUGCUAGGCCAAAACUGACACUGAGGGACGAAAGCUAGGGGAGCGAAUGGGAUUAGAUACCCCAGUAGUCCUAGCCGUAAACGAUGGAUACUAGGUGUAGCUUGUAUCGACCCAAGCUGUGCCGUAGCUAACGCGUUAAGUAUCCCGCCUGGGGAGUACGCGCGCAAGCGUGAAACUCAAAGGAAUUGACGGGGGCCCGCACAAGCGGUGGAGUAUGUGGUUUAAUUCGAUGCAACGCGAAGAACCUUACCAGGACUUGACAUGUCGCGAAUCUUACUGAAAGGUAGGAGUGCCUUAGGGAGCGCGAACACAGGUGGUGCAUGGCUGUCGUCAGCUCGUGCCGUGAGAUGUUGGGUUAAGUCCCGCAACGAGCGCAACCCUCGUUUUUAGUUGCCAUCAUUAGGUUGGGCACUCUAGAGAGACUGCCGGUGACAAACCGGAGGAAGGUGGGGAUGACGUCAAGUCAGCAUGCCCCUUACGUUCUGGGCUACACACGUACUACAAUGCUACGGACAAAGGGUAGCAAGACAGCGAUGUCAAGCCAAUCCCAUAAACCGUGGCUCAGUUCAGAUUGCAGGCUGCAACUCGCCUGCAUGAAGGCGGAAUCGCUAGUAAUCGCAGGUCAGCACUACUGCGGUGAAUACGUUCCCGGGCCUUGUACACACCGCCCGUCCACCAUGGAAGCUGGCUUAGCCCGAAGUCGUUACCCUAACCGUAAGGAGGGGGAUGCCGAAGGCAGGGCUGGUGACUGGGGUGAAGUCGUAACAAGGUAACCAA